This 86-nucleotide small nucleolar RNA is filed under the name Niveomyces insectorum RCEF 264. Lineage: Eukaryota; Fungi; Ascomycota; Sordariomycetes; Hypocreales; Cordycipitaceae. The record is from RNAcentral.
ACAUGAUGAUUACCUAGAUGACGAGUCUUAUCCGCGUUAGCGAUGCAGACAACCUAUUUUUUAAUACCAUUCAUGCAUAUCUGAUC